Molecule: ribosomal RNA, 896 nt
Filed under: uncultured bacterium
Lineage: Bacteria
Description: bacterial SSU rRNA
Rfam family: Bacterial small subunit ribosomal RNA
Source: RNAcentral
GAUGAACGCUAGCGGCAGGCUAAUACAUGCAAGUCGAGGGGCAGCGGGGGUAGCAAUACCUGCCGGCGACCGGCAAACGGGUGCGGAACACGUACACAACCUUCCUUUAAGUGGGGGAUAGCCCAGAGAAAUUUGGAUUAAUACCCCGUAACACUAUUUGGUGGCAUCAUUGAAUAAUUAAAGCUUCGGCGCUUGAAGAUGGGUGUGCGUCUGAUUAGGUAGUUGGUAGGGGUAACGGCCCACCAAGCCAGCGAUCAGUAACUGGUGUGAGAGCACGACCAGUCACACGGGCACUGAGACACGGGCCCGACUCCUACGGGAGGCAGCAGUAAGGAAUAUUGGUCAAUGGACGCAAGUCUGAACCAGCCAUGCCGCGUGGAGGAUGAAGGUCCUCUGGAUUGUAAACUUCUUUUAUCUGGGAAGAAAUGCAUUUUUUCUAAAGUGUUUGACGGUACCAGAUGAAUAAGCACCGGCUAACUCCGUGCCAGCAGCCGCGGUAAUACGGAGGGUGCAAGCGUUAUCCGGAUUCACUGGGUUUAAAGGGUGCGUAGGUGGGCAGUUAAGUCAGUGGUGAAAUCUCCGGGCUCAACCCGGAAACUGCCAUUGAUACUAUUUGUCUUGAAUAUCGUGGAGGUAAGCGGAAUAUGUCAUGUAGCGGUGAAAUGCUUAGAUAUGACAUAGAACACCAAUUGCGAAGGCAGCUUGCUACCCGAAUAUUGACASUGAGGCACGAAAGCGUGGGGAUCAAACAGGAUUAGAUACCCUGGUAGUCCACGCCCUAAACGAUGGAUACUCGACAUACGCGAUACACAGUGUGUGUCUGAGCGAAAGCAUUAAGUAUCCCACCUGRGAAGUACGACCGCANNGUUGAAACUCAAAGGGANUUGACGGGGGUC